This 548-nucleotide ribosomal RNA is filed under the name uncultured bacterium. RNAcentral's name for it is "bacterial SSU rRNA". It matches the Rfam family "Bacterial small subunit ribosomal RNA", at positions 777 to 1319 of the family's 1533-position model. The record is from RNAcentral.
AAUAGAUACCCUGGUAGUCCACGCCGUAAACGAUGAGUGCUAAGUGGUUAGGGGGUUUCCGCCCCUUAGUGCUGCAGCUAACGCAUUAAGCACUCCGCCUGGGGAGUACGGUCGCAAGACUGAAACUCAAAGGAAUUGACGGGGGCCCGCACAAGCGGUGGAGCAUGUGGUUUAAUUCGAAGCAACGCGAAGAACCUUACCAGGUCUUGACAUCCCAUUGACCGCUAUGGAGACAUGGCUUUCCCUUCGGGGACAGUGGUGACAGGUGGUGCAUGGUUGUCGUCAGCUCGUGUCGUGAGAUGUUGGGUUAAGUCCCGCAACGAGCGCAACCCUUGUUCUUAGUUGCCAUCAUUUAGUUGGGCACUCUAAGGAGACUGCCGGUGACAAACCGGAGGAAGGUGGGGAUGACGUCAAAUCAUCAUGCCCCUUAUGACCUGGGCUACACACGUGCUACAAUGGACGGUACAAACGGUUGCCAACCCGGCGAGGGGGGAGCCUAAUCCGGAUAAAACCGUUCUCAGUUCGGAUUGUAGGCUGCAACUCGCUAC